ACCAGGUGAGGUGGCGCACACCUGUAAUCCCAAUUGCUCAGGAGGCUGAGGCAAGAGGAUCACAAGUUCAAAGCCAGCCUCAGUAACUUAAGGCCCCAAGCAACUUUGUGAGACCUUUUCUCUA
Molecule: small RNA, 124 nt
Filed under: Marmota monax (woodchuck)
Lineage: Eukaryota; Metazoa; Chordata; Mammalia; Rodentia; Sciuridae
Source: RNAcentral